UUAGUCUGAUAUCUUUUUCUCAAUGGAAUGCUUAUGCGCACCAACACAGGCACACUCAUUUCAGGGGUUUCAGGAUUAGGAAAGGGUGGAUGCCAAGAAUAGUCUUUGACAGGUGUCCU
Molecule: non-coding RNA, 119 nt
Organism: Ceratotherium simum simum (southern white rhinoceros)
Lineage: Eukaryota; Metazoa; Chordata; Mammalia; Perissodactyla; Rhinocerotidae
Source: RefSeq, a predicted model, not a curated record